This 253-nucleotide ribosomal RNA is filed under the name uncultured bacterium. RNAcentral describes it as "partial 16S ribosomal RNA". It matches the Rfam family "Bacterial small subunit ribosomal RNA", at positions 524 to 776 of the family's 1533-position model. The record is from RNAcentral.
UACAGAGGGUGCGAGCGUUAAUCGGAGUAACUGGGCGUAAAGGGCACGUAGGCGGUUAUAUUAGUCUGAUGUGAAAGACCUGGGCUUAACCUGGGAUGUGCAUUGGAAACGGUAUGGCUAGAGUAUGGGAGAGGGAAGUGGAAUUUCCGGUGUAGCGGUGAAAUGCGUAGAGAUCGGAAAGAACACUCGUGGCGAAGGCGGCUUUCUGGCCCAAAACUGACGCUGAGGUGCGAAAGCGUGGGGAGCGAACAGG